This 425-nucleotide ribosomal RNA is filed under the name Wolbachia sp. Its description in RNAcentral is "bacterial SSU rRNA". It matches the Rfam family "Bacterial small subunit ribosomal RNA", at positions 29 to 482 of the family's 1533-position model. The record is from RNAcentral. Lineage: Bacteria; Pseudomonadati; Pseudomonadota; Alphaproteobacteria; Rickettsiales; Anaplasmataceae.
AAUGAACGCUGGCGGCAAGCCUAACACAUGCAAGUCGAACGGGGUUAUAUAUAGCUUGCUAUAGUGUAGCCUAGUGGCAGACGGGUGAGUAAUGUAUAGGAAUCUACCUAGUAGUACGGAAUAAUUACUGGAAACGGCAACUAAUACCGUAUACGCCCUAUGGGGGAAAGAUUUAUUGCUAUUAGAUGAGCCUAUAUUAGAUUAGCUAGUUGGUAGGGUAAUGGCCUACCAAGGCUAUGAUCUAUAGCUGAUCUGAGAGGAUGAUCAGCCACACUGGAACUGAGAUACGGUCCAGACUCCUACGGGAGGCAGCAGUGGGGAAUAUUGGACAAUGAGCGGAAGCUUGAUCCAUCUAUGCCGCAUGAGUGAAGAAAGCCUUUGGGUUGUAAAGCUCUUUCAGUGAGGAAGAUAAUGACGGUACUCAC